AUUUACGUCUAAGACGAAACUGCUCUGACUUGGAAGAUUUCAAGAUGCAAGCAAAAGAACUACGCUCAAUGUUCAGGUCAAAGGGAUACCCUAAUAAGUGCCUGAAGAGGGCAUACCACAGAGCCCUCCUAACUGAGCAAGAAAGUCUUCUGAGGGAACAUAUGAUUCCCCCGACUUUACCAAAGGAAGCAGUACAGACACAAAUUAGAUGCAUUGCAACUUUCGAUGCUGGAUGGGACCAAGUAAAAGCAAUUAUGAAUCGGUUCUGGCCUCUCUUAAAACAGGAUGCACAAUUAAGGGAUAUACUUCCAUCAUACGCAUCCCUAACAGCAAGAAGAGGCCAAAACCUAAGAUAUGUUGGUGCAUAGCCAUUUUCAAUCUAAC
This is a non-coding RNA of Pelobates cultripes (western spadefoot toad), 384 nucleotides long. NCBI's taxonomy places the organism in Eukaryota, Metazoa, Chordata, Amphibia, Anura, Pelobatidae. The record is from the annotation of a GenBank genome assembly.